The sequence is a transfer RNA, 77 nucleotides long. It matches the Rfam family "tRNA". Rfam says of the family: Transfer RNA (tRNA) molecules are approximately 80 nucleotides in length. Their secondary structure includes four short double-helical elements and three loops (D, anti-codon, and T loops). Further hydrogen bonds mediate the characteristic L-shaped molecular structure. tRNAs have two regions of fundamental functional importance: the anti-codon, which is responsible for specific mRNA codon recognition, and the 3' end, to which the tRNAs corresponding amino acid is attached (by aminoacyl-tRNA synthetases). tRNAs cope with the degeneracy of the genetic code in two manners: having more than one tRNA (with a specific anti-codon) for a particular amino acid; and 'wobble' base-pairing, i.e. permitting non-standard base-pairing at the 3rd anti-codon position.
GGGCUGUUAGCUCAGUUGGCUAGAGCGCCACAUUUGCAAUGUGGAGGUCGAGGGUUCAACUCCCUCACAGUCCACCA